Long non-coding RNA from Magnolia sinica, 844 nucleotides. RefSeq lists it as uncharacterized. The transcript is spliced from 5 exons. The record is from RefSeq and is a predicted model, not a curated record. Lineage: Eukaryota; Viridiplantae; Streptophyta; Magnoliopsida; Magnoliales; Magnoliaceae.
GUUCUCAAGGAUUUGCAAGGACCUCAGCAGCAUUGGAGAUACUGGUAUCAUCAUCUUCAUUGGAUGAGUUAUUAUUGAGAUACUUCUGUACACAUAAUAUUGUGUACAGAAUUCACCCACCAUCCAUUGGUUGAAAUCUGAAUAGAAUGUGUAGGGAUUCUUGUUGGUUGUUUCAUACUAAUGUCCAACAUUCAUAUCAAUAGUUAUAGUACAAUAUCUAUCUGUUGGUUUGGGGUGAUUGUAGUUGUAAUUUUAGUGACAAAGGAAGGAGUGAAGUUCUCUACCAGGGGUGAUAUUGGAACUACAAAUAUUGUUUGCCAGCAAAAUACCUCUAUGGACAAGUGACAUAUGACCCAAACUGGUCUGCACAUCUGGAUUGGGCAUAUUGCCAGUUGGACUGUUGCUUCACUUCUACUGUUUAUUGGACAGGAAACCAAAAUAGGAUAGGAUUUUAAAGCGCAGGCUGAAACAGGUGAAAUCAAGGACAUUACUUGAAUGCUACUGUAGGCAUUCAAGGGAAAACUUCAACACAGGCCUCUAGAUCUCCUUCAAUUACUCUGUUCAAAUGGUACAAGGAUAGCUCGGGAGCAUUGGACGUUAGAGGAUCGAAAUCUCCUUCGAUGCAAGUAAUGCAAGCCUACUGAGAUGGCCUAAGUGGGGGCAUUUAAAGGAUCUACAUCCAACUAUAAAACUCUGUGAACCAGCACCUUUAGUUGUUGUUGAUGAUGCGCCAGAAUAUAUAAAAUUGGGACAAAAGCAAGAGGUGGGCAACUAGCUACUGAUACUCAUUGAUGAUUAGUUCAUCAAAUUGUUCAUGCUAAAUACGGAAUAUCUAUUUAAUUCA